Oncorhynchus tshawytscha (Chinook salmon) is the source of this 1012-nucleotide long non-coding RNA. Lineage: Eukaryota; Metazoa; Chordata; Actinopteri; Salmoniformes; Salmonidae. The record is from Ensembl.
CCGUACUGCUCUUUUUACAGUUUUAUAAACUUCGUGGAGAACGAUCUCUCCAUUCAGCUCCACUCUAAUCCUGAGGGGCGUUUCUUUAAACGCGCAUCCAAGCCCCUUGAUCCUUUACAUAAACUAGAACAAUCAUAUGCUUAUAUGUGCCGCGGCUCACAGUGCUGUGGCAACACAAUGAUAGAGAUUCCUGAUCGUGAUGUUAAAUUGCAGGCGCAGAUUCUCCGAUUUCAAAACGAUUUGGAGCACAGUUGAAAAGUUAACGCGCGGACUACACACAUACUAAUAAAUGCAGUAUUUUUAAAUGCGUGAGAUAUAAACGUGUGCCACGAGAGCGCGGAAAGAGGGUCAAAUGCGUGUCUCACGGCCAAUGCGUGGGAGUUGGCAGCUCUGGUUUUUAGUUUUCGGUUUAAGGUUGCGUUCCAAAUACGUAAAAUACAUCCUCCUCCACUACCCUCACCCUUGGGGGAAUCCCAGCGGCCAUCUUUGCCGUUGUUGGUCCAAACAAUUACCCAAGCAAGGGAAGUUGGCAAGUAAGCCCCUCUGCCCUCGUUUGUGAUCGAGUGUAAAAUUCUGUUCACUCUGGGGUCUGAAAGCCCCAUAAUUCAAUUUGCAAUGAUUGUACAUUGGCUAAGAAAAGUCAGCCAAAACUUAAAACCAAAAUCAAUAUGGAGAGAAGUCAACAUACAAGUGUGUGUGUUUCAGGAUGGCUUCCUGAUAUCCCCCCCCAAGCAGCUGAUUGAUCGACUCCAUGGCUAAUCAUUGCUAAGAGAGGAGGUUGAUGGCUGGGGGUCAUUAUGUUGGUUGUUGCUAACAGAGAUGGUUAUGUUCUGUGGUUGUUGCUGAGAGAGCUGAUUUGAUGUUCUGUCUUGGUUGUGGCUCAGAGACAGGUUUUGUUAAGUAUUUUUGUAGCUGCUGAUUUGAGGUAUGUGUAUUAGAGGGGGCUUUGAGAUUUACUUUCUUUGCUUUGGUUCCAUCCAGCCCCUUUUCCCCAUAUUACCGUGUGACGGAA